Molecule: non-coding RNA, 1614 nt
Organism: Vicugna pacos (alpaca)
Lineage: Eukaryota; Metazoa; Chordata; Mammalia; Artiodactyla; Camelidae
Source: RefSeq, a predicted model, not a curated record
CUCCUUCUCAUCUAGACAGAAGACCGUCUCUCUCUUCGGCAGGAUAAAGGCAAGAGGCUCCCAGACGACACUGACGUUCACACGCCCAAGGUUUCCGUACUUGGAGAGCUGAGUGGCUGGAAUGCCUGACCCAGAUGGUCUGUGCUAUCUGAGCUGGAGGAAAAAGUACUUGGAGACAGCGAUUUAUAUAAGGAACGAGGUCUUCCAGGAAGGCAGUGCAGAACUGGAUGAAAAGCUCCUGCUCCCCACUGCUGAAGACAGCCUCCUCUGCGCGAUGGAAGGCCAGGAUUACCUUAGUUACCUACGAGACAAGGGCACUGUCAAUCACUGGGUUAGUCUGUUACCAUCAGCAGUGUUUAAAACUAAGCACAAAUGUGCAGCCCUCAAGUUUUCAUGAAGAAAGUCAUUCCAAACAGUACAUUAUAUUACUAUCUUGUUUAAAUUCAGAACUGUGGUCAAGCUUCACAAUUCUGUCACUUCACUGAUGUAUUUCUCACCCAGCUGUUUUUUUUUUUUUAAGCUGGUGCAGUUUCCAGUUCCAGUGGAGGAGCGCCAUGAAAUUAUACACAGAAUAGAUUGUUUCUGACUUCUGUGGGAGAUGGAUCAGGAAAAUGAAGCGAAUCUGAAAAAGAUUUCUACUGAGUAAGGUUUUUGAAGUUCCAGAAGGCUAUAACCUCUAGAAAAUUGUAAAGGAGGAAUUAAAUAGAGCUGGAAAAGAAGUUCCAUAUACAAGUAAUAGAGCCUAGCUGACAUUACAGACAGGUGUCAUGGUGAUAGGGUUAAGAACAUAGACUCUAGUGCUGAACAUCUUGGGUUCAAGUCCCAGCUGUGCCACUCACUGGCUCUGUGGCGCCUAGGGGUUAAUUAAGCACUCUAGGCCCUCUGUGCCUGAGUUCCGUCAUCUAUAAAGGAGGGCCAGCAACAGGACCUACCUCAUAGGGUUGUGAACAUUGUCUCAAUAUGUGUAAAGUAUGAUGAACUACAUGGCAUGUAGUAAGUUCUAUAUAAAUAUUAGCUAAUUAUUAUUAUCUGAAUUUCAUUGACCCAAAAAGCUUUACUGCUCAUGCUUUCUUGCUUUCUUACAGGAGGACAUCACAGAAAUUUUAUAAAACCACGUCACAACUGCCACCUGGUUGACAGCAAUUAUAAAAUGUCAUCAGUUAUAAGAAGCAUCCCAGUAUCUAAAUAUUUAUAUGUGUAAAAAAUGGGCACCAUAUUAGGAUAUUAGUAGUAUUACUUGUAUUAGGCAGAAUUCUAAGAUGGCUCUUGUGAUGCCCAACCUCUGGCAUCUACCCCUAAUGCCCUCCACUUGAGUGCAGGCACAAUCUGUGGCUCGUUGCUAACCAAUAAAAUAUAGCAAAGGUGAAGGAUUUUGCAAUUUUAAUUAGCAUCCCUAAUCAGCUGACUCUGAAUUAAUCAAAAGGGAGGUUGUCCUGGAUGAGCCUGACUUAAUCAGAUGCGCCUCUUAAAAGAGGGUUAAAGAUUUCCGUAAAAGAGAUUCAGGCAGGAGAGAUACUCUCUCAUUGGCCUUGGAGAAUCAAAAAGCCACACAGUGAACUGCAUAUGGAGUGGACUGUCUCUAGCAGUUGAGGGCCUCAGUCCUACAACUGUAAG